CGUAACAAGGUUUCCGUAGGUGAACCUGCGGAAGGAUCAUUACCUAGAGUUUGUAGACUUCGGUCUGCUACCUCUUACCCAUGUCCUUUGAGUACCUUCGUUUCCUCGGCGGGUCCGCCCGCCGAUUGGACAACAUUCAAACCCUUUGCAGUUGCAAUCAGCGUCUGAAAAAACAUAAUAGUUACAACUUUCAACAACGGAUCUCUUGGUUCUGGCAUCGAUGAAGAACGCAGCGAAAUGCGAUAAGUAGUGUGAAUUGCAGAAUUCAGUGAAUCAUCGAAUCUUUGAACGCACAUUGCGCCCCUUGGUAUUCCAUGGGGCAUGCCUGUUCGAGCGUCAUUUGUACCUUCAAGCUCUGCUUGGUGUUGGGUGUUUGUCUCGCCUCUGCGUGUAGACUCGCCUUAAAACAAUUGGCAGCCGGCGUAUUGAUUUCGGAGCGCAGUACAUCUCGCGCUUUGCACUCAUAACGACGACGUCCAAAAGUACAUUUUUACACUCUUGACCUCGGAUCANGUAGGGAUACCCGCUGAACUUAAGCAUAUCA
This 544-nucleotide ribosomal RNA is filed under the name uncultured fungus. RNAcentral's name for it is "eukaryotic LSU rRNA". The stretch from base 186 to 339 matches the Rfam family "5.8S ribosomal RNA". The record is from RNAcentral. Lineage: Eukaryota; Fungi.